UUGAUUAUUUUUUAUUUAUUAAAAGUUUUAUUUAUUUUGUUUUAUUUUUAAAAAUAUUUAUAAAAUAAUAGGUUUUAGUAUUUAUUAAUGAAAAAAUAAAGUUUAUAAUAGUGAAAAGUAUUGUGAAAGAAAAUUGAAAUAUAUUGAAAAAUUUUUAUUUUAAAAGAAAAUUUAAUUUAUUGUACCUUGUGUGUCAGGGUUUAUUAAUUAAAAGUUAUUUAUUUAAUUUUUUCGAUUUUAAAAGAGUUAAUAUAUUAAUAAAUUUAAUGUAAUAAAAUUAUUUUAAAUAAUAUAUUAGUAAUGAAAGGUUAUUCGUUUUUAAAGGUAUCUAGUUUUUUAAGAAAUAAAUUUAAUUUAAAAAUUUUAUAUUAUUAAAUUAAUUAUAUUAAUUUAAUAAUUAUUAAAUUUUAAUAAUUUAUGGGAUAAGCUAUAAAUUAAAUAAUUAAAAAUUAAUAAAAUUAUAAUAAAUAUAAGCUUAAGAUUAGUUAUUAUUAAAAAUAUUGUUAUAAGUUAUUUUAAAAUAUUAUUAUUUAUUUAAUUUUAAUUUUUUAUUAAAAUAUUUAUUUUAAUUUUGAAAAUAAAGUAAUAAUGAUAAAAUUAGUAUAUUAAAAUAUAAAAAUAAUUAUUAUUGAUAAGUUUAAAUAAAGAAUUCGGCAAAAUAGUAUUCGCCUGUUUAACAAAAACAUGUCUUUUUGUUUUUAUAAAAAGUCUAACCUGCCCACUGAUUUUUUAAAUGGCCGCAGUAUAUUAACUGUGCAAAGGUAGCAUAAUCAUUAGUUUUUUAAUUGAAAGCUGGUAUGAAUGGUUGGACGAAAUAUUAACUGUUUCAUAUAAAUUUAUAAUAAAAUUUUAUUUUUUAGUUAAAAAGCUAAAAUAAAUUUAAAAGACGAGAAGACCCUAUAAAUCUUUAUAUUUUAUUAUAUUAUAGUUUUGUUGAAAUAAUUUUUUUUAAUAUAUGUAUAUUAUUUUAUUGGGGUGAUAUUAAAAUUUAAUAAACUUUUAAUUUUUAAAUUCAUUGAUUUAUGAAUAAUUGAUCCAUUAAUAAUGAUUAAAAAUUUAAGUUACUUUAGGGAUAACAGCGUAAUUUUUUUGGAAAGUUCUUAUUGAUAAAAAAGAUUGCGACCUCGAUGUUGGAUUAAGAUAUAAUUUUAGGUGUAGUUGCUUAAAUUUUAAGUCUGUUCGACUUUUAAAUUCUUACAUGAUCUGAGUUCAAACCGGUGUAAGCCAGGUUGGUUUCUAUCUUUAAAUUAUUAAAAUGUUUUAGUACGAAAGGACCAAAUAUUUAAUAAAUUAUUAUUUUUAUAAUGAAUAUAAAUAAUUACU
RNAcentral lists this ribosomal RNA (1323 nucleotides) under Miltogramma oestracea. RNAcentral describes it as "16S ribosomal RNA". Lineage: Eukaryota; Metazoa; Arthropoda; Insecta; Diptera; Sarcophagidae. The record is from RNAcentral.